UUCCCAACAAUGUAGAGAGUAACAACAGGUGUAGACUAACAGUGAAAUGCUGACGGGCCCUUCCCAACAAUGUAGAGAGAAACAACAGGUGUAGACUAACAGUGAAAUGCUGACGGGCCCUUCCCAACAAUGUAGAGAGAAACAACAGGUGUAGACUAACAGUGAAAUGCUGACGGGCCCUUCCCAACAAUGUAGAGAGAAACAACAGGUGUAGACUAACAGUGAAAUGCUGACGGGCCCUUCCCAACAAUGUAGAGAGAAACAACAGGUGUAGACUAACAGUGAAAUGCUGACGGGCCCUUCCCAACAAUGUAGAGAGAAACAACAGGUGUAGACUAACAGUGAAAUGCUGACGGGCCCUUCCCAACAAUGUAGAGAGAAACAACAGGUGUAGACUAACAGUGAAAUGCUGACGGGCCCUUCCCAACAAUGUAGAGAGAAACAACAGGUGUAGACUAACAGUGAAAUGCUGACGGGCCCUUCCCAACAAUGUAGAGAGAAACAACAGGUGUAGACUAACAGUGAAAUGCUGACGGGCCCUUCCCAACAAUGUAGAGAGAAACAACAGGUGUAGACUAACAGUGAAAUGCUGACGGGCCCUUCCCAACAAUGUAGAGAGAAACAACAGGUGUAGACUAACAGUGAAAUGCUGACGGGCCCUUCCCAACAAUGUAGAGAGAAACAACAGGUGUAGACUAACAGUGAAAUGCUGACGGGCCCU
Oncorhynchus keta (chum salmon) is the source of this 721-nucleotide long non-coding RNA. RefSeq lists it as uncharacterized. The record is from RefSeq and is a predicted model, not a curated record. Lineage: Eukaryota; Metazoa; Chordata; Actinopteri; Salmoniformes; Salmonidae. The transcript has 3 exons.